RNAcentral lists this non-coding RNA (791 nucleotides) under Helicoverpa armigera (cotton bollworm). The record is from RNAcentral. Lineage: Eukaryota; Metazoa; Arthropoda; Insecta; Lepidoptera; Noctuidae.
AAUAAAAUUCUUUAUGGUUUAAUAAUUUAUUAUAAAUUUAUUUUACAUAUAAAUUUUAGUGUUAAAUAUUAAUUAUUUAAAUAAUAAUUAUUUAUUUUGUAGUAAUUAAUAUUAAAUAUUUAAGAAAUUAAGAUUUAGUAAUAUUUAAAUUAAUAACAAAUUUUGUGCCAGCAGUUGCGGUUAAACAAAAAUUAAAUUAAAUUUUAUUAGUAAUUAAUUAAUAAAUAUUUUUAUAAUAAAAAUUUUAAAUUAUUAGGUGAAAUUUUAAUUUAAUUAAAUUUUAUAUUUGAAUUUAUGAUUUAAUAAAUUUUAAAAAAAACUAGGAUUAGAUACCCUAUUAUUAAAAUUUAAAUUUAUAAUACUAAAAUAGUAAUUAAUUAUUUAUUGAAACUUAAAUAAUUUGGCGGUAUUUUAGUUCAUUUAGAGGAAUCUGUUUAAUAAUUGAUAAUCCACGAAUAAAUUUACUUAAUUUAAUAUUUUGUAUAUCGUUGUUAAAAAAAUAUUUUUAAAAAAAAUUAAUAUUUAAAAAUUUUAAAUUAAUUUAAAUCAGAUCAAGAUGCAGAUUAUAAUUAAGAAUAUAAUGGAUUACAAUAAAUUUAUUUAUACUGAUAUUAAUUUGUAAUAAUUAAUUGAGGGUGGAUUUAAAUGUAAUUUUAUUUAAUUUAUUAAAAUGAUUAAAAAUUAAAAUAUGUACAUAUUGCCCGUCACUUUCAUAUAAUUAUAAUUUAAUUAUAAUAAAUUGAAAUAAGUCGUAACAAAGUAGAGGUACUGGAAAGUGUUUCUAGAAAGAA